AAACACUAGAGCGAUUAAUACCUCUCUGAAACCCUCCACUCAAACUCAACUACCACGAGAAGUGAUCGUACUAGGAUUUGCACUUAAAGGGCACAAUAGGGGUGAGUACGGUCCACUUACAUUCAAUAAGUAUUAUAGGUCGACUGAACAAAGCAGAAAAUAAGAUAAGUAAAAUAUACAAUAAGUACAUCACCUUGCAA
Molecule: long non-coding RNA, 200 nt
Filed under: Capsicum annuum
Lineage: Eukaryota; Viridiplantae; Streptophyta; Magnoliopsida; Solanales; Solanaceae
Description: long non-coding RNA (CANN_LNC001164)
Source: RNAcentral